AGGACUAACGCUGGCGGCGUGCCUAACACAUGCAAGUCGAACGAGGGGUAGCAAUACCCCUAGUGGCAGACGGGUGAGUAACACGUAGUCAACCUACCUCUUAAUGGGGGAUAACUAGCCGAAAGGUUAGCUAAUACCGCAUACGAUCGUCGAGUGGCAUCACACGACGAUGAAAGGAGCAAUCCGUUGAGAGAGGGGACUGCGUCCCAUUAGUUAGUUGGUGGGGUAAUGGCCUACCAAGACUCCGAUGGGUAGCUGGCUUGAGAGAGCGACCAGCCACACUGGAACUGAGACACGGUCCAGACUCCUACGGGAGGCAGCAGUGAGGAAUUUUCCGCAAUGGGGGAAACCCUGACGGAGCGACGCCGCGUGUGGGAAGAAGGCCUUCGGGUCGUAACCACUGUCGAGGGGACGAUAUUGACGGUACCCCUGGAGGAAGCCCCGGCUAACUACGUGCCAGCAGCCGC
Molecule: ribosomal RNA, 467 nt
Filed under: uncultured bacterium
Lineage: Bacteria
Description: SSU rRNA
Rfam family: Bacterial small subunit ribosomal RNA
Source: RNAcentral